Molecule: ribosomal RNA, 249 nt
Filed under: uncultured bacterium
Lineage: Bacteria
Description: partial 16S ribosomal RNA
Rfam family: Bacterial small subunit ribosomal RNA
Source: RNAcentral
GUAACGCGUGAGUAACCUGCCUUUCAGAGGGGGAGUAACGUUCUGAAAAGAACGCUAAUACCGCAUAACAUCAAUUUAUCGCAUGAUAGGUUGAUCAAAGGAGCAAUCCGCUGGAAGAUGGACUCGCGUCCGAUUAGCCAGUUGGCGGGGUAACGGGCCCACCAAAGCGACGAUCGGUAGCCGGACUGAGAGGUUGAACGGCCACAUUGGGACUGAGACACGGCCCAGACUCCUACGGGAGGCAGCAUG